GGUUGCAACUUGCAAGCAGAUCUCAACUGGUGCGCGCGCACACACACGCACAGAUCUGAGCCACGCGCACAGGCAGUACUGCCCCCUUUCUUCUCCAAGUCCGGCCGGCUGAUCGGUCGUUAUGUAUAUGAACGUGGUGGUGGGGUUCUUUUUAUGGUGAGUGGUUUCGAGCUAGGUGGUGGCGGCCGGCUGGGUUUUCGUUCCGUGGCUAACUGACAGAAGAGAGUGAGCACACAGCGGGCAGACUGCAUCGAUCGAUCUGCAUCCGAGACGGCGCACGUACGAAUGAUGAUGCAGCUGCUGCUGCGUGCUCACUUCUCUCUCUGUCAGUCCUCUAGCUGCUACGGCCUCUCUCCCGGCCUGCCACCACUAUAACUUCACCUUGCCAUGGUGGCCGGCCACUACUCUACUCUACUCUCUCUCUCUUUUUGCUGCAUGCGUUGUUGCAACUCGAAGUUGCAGGCCGGUGAAUGAAUGAACGAACGGGUGGGUCAGCUGACUUUUACUGCGACGGGACAGCAGGGGUUCGCAGGGGAGGGAUAGAGGAAUGCAAAGAUAAGGCCGGCCACCGAUCGAUUUGGGCGGGGUCUCGUCCUUAUCUUGUACGACUGCGGCUGGACGGCCAGCCUCUCGCCGCCCGAGGAGCGGUGGUGCAGUCGGACCCGUUCUUUGGAGCAAGGCCGUGCGUGGUCUCGAUCGGCUUCCCAAGGUCGAGGGAGAGGGGGGGACAUGCCUCGGGCGAAGGAAGGAGGUGCCCGCGCGCGUGAUCUCACCGAUCUCGCUGCUGGCGCGGCUUUCCAAAGCACGCCUGCGUAGGAGUAGUAGCCGAACCUAGCUCGGUGUCCGGCUGCCGCUUCGAGAUCUGUUGAUAACUCGAAGAAAAAUACCCAAGAUCUGGACUUUUACCCCGAGUCCCCGACCCUUCCCUGUCUUGCUGGCUGUUUCUUUUCAUCACCCUCAGUGGUGCCAUCAUCUCAUGUGCUGGAGGUAGGUUUUUGGGCGGGAGCCAUGGUGGUGCCGCCUUCUGCAGGAGGUAGAUCUGCCUGUCCGGAAGAGGAAAGGAGAAUCAGUGCGCCUGACUUCCAGAUCUGGAAGCUGCUGUUCGUACUUGCGGAUCUCAACAUGUACGGUGACUGCACUGCACAUACGUUUGCUUGCUCUUCUAACAGUCGUUUCCUUGCAGGCAAGGGCAAAUUUCCACAUACUGCUGCUAAAUUCUUACUUUUCUACAUAUAUAUAGUUUGAUACAGUAAACCAAAUCAGCGUUAAUAUGGCUUUUGUUGAUCCUGAUCUUUGAAAUUGACAUUUGUUGUGCACAGAUAAAUUCAAUUUUUUUAAUGUUUGAAGAUGUAGUGGAUCUUUUCAGAUCUUAUAUAUGCAUGUAUAUAUUCCUGUACUUCUGUUUUCUCUUGAACGAGGCGUAGAUGGCCAGCAACAAUCUGGCAUACAUGAAUAACCAAUAUUUUCAUUUUAUGGCACUAGCAUAACAUGGUUUUCUUUGUGUAGUUCUCCAGAGAUUCCUAAUUAAUUAUAUGCACAUCUGGACCUAGCUUGGCAACUGUAUACUCCUAAUUAAUUAAUUAAUCGAUUAAGCAUCAAAUUGUUCUUUCGUUUGCCUGCAGGGAUUUUCUAAAUUCUUAUCAUCCACGCGUUUUUUACUGCACAAAAAACAUUAUCCAAUCGAAUGUGUCAUCAAAUAUCCUCUUAUAAAGUCAUAAUUAGCUUCUUCAAAAGUGCUACUUAAGUUUUGUCAUUCUUAAUUAAUGCUUUUGAACAAAAUAUGAAAUGGACGCUCAUUACAAUUUCAUGUGGUCCUGCCAGUUCCAGGCCUAGAAGUACAUAUCUUUUGCAAAGAUUGAGAUGUUUUUUUUCCAAAACAAGAAAUAGUUGCAAUUUUAUGUGGACCUUCACAUAAUUGCUUUGUUAAACUGAAUAGGCUAGGGUAUACUCCUAUAUAUGCAAGUCACCCUUAUUUCAUCUGUAUUUUUGUUCUAUAUAGGCAUAUAUUUCGUCUAACACCUUGUCUCAAAUCAACUGCGCUCUACACAGCCAUGCAUAUAUAACUAUUACAUUUUAGUUUGGAAUCUGAAAAAAACCUAUUUUUUCACUAUCAUUAUUUGCUCUCAUGAUUAAUAUGAUCAUGUUAUUCAUUUAUACCGUAUAUAAUUAUGAUAGCUAAGUCUUUGCAUGAUUUGUAUAAUUGUUUCCAGUGCUCCUAUUUGUAUAUAUAUGGUCUAUAAGGAGAGGGGGUUACAUUAAUUUGUACUAUAAGGUGUUUUACAAAAUGGAUUUUCUCCUAAUAAUGUUUGGAUUUCUGUCCAUCUGAAUUCGAGAUAAGGCAUACCAAACAUUUACACUGUGGAUCACAGUUUGUGUGUCUCCUCCUAAGCUUAUCCACAUGGCCGGAACUGAACAGGCAUAGCCUUCCUGAGCAUGGUUCCUGGGCACGUGUUGCCAAUAUUUGGACAUCUGGAGAUAAAACUCUGAUUGCAUGAGGUCGUGAAUCAGGAGCGCCGAUCGCCAACGCCUUUCUCUGGUCCCAAGAUUAUGAAACUUGCAUGCUCUCCAGAGAAUAGUGAUGACACAACAGGGCUGCAUCAGACUGUGUGCACAUAUAGACUUGUUGCAUCUGUGCUUGAAAAAUUGAACAGUAGCCUAGCUAGCUUGUAUAUAUUUUGGUAGCAGGUUGUUAGUUAUCCAUUCGGCGAAAUCUCUAGUUGCCCCUUGAAUUCGUUAAUCUUAUGUAGCAGGCAUCUUUAAACUUUUUAGCAGGUCUGCAGAAUAUUUUGUCAAUAUUUAUUCAAUUUUGUACAUUUGAAAUUAUCAAUACAAUGUUAUAUUU
Molecule: long non-coding RNA, 2842 nt
Filed under: Zea mays
Lineage: Eukaryota; Viridiplantae; Streptophyta; Magnoliopsida; Poales; Poaceae
Description: MIR156aHG (LOC115029012)
Rfam family: mir-156 microRNA precursor family (bases 213-330)
Source: RNAcentral